This 1081-nucleotide long non-coding RNA is filed under the name Mytilus galloprovincialis (Mediterranean mussel). The record is from RNAcentral. Lineage: Eukaryota; Metazoa; Mollusca; Bivalvia; Mytilida; Mytilidae.
UCUGUGUUUUGUUGUUUUACUUCUUAGGGCAUCGAGAUGGAAUACCAGUGUACUGAACUAAAAAUGUUAAGUCACACAAACAUUUUAAUUAAUUCGUUCAUUUUCUCGUCUAAUAUCAGUGAAAAGCCACUAUAAAUAAUCUCAUAGAUAUAUAGGCUGAUAAUGUAAUGCACCACACAAUUACCGUGAGUGACGUCAUAAAUUAUGUAAAUAAUAAAGUACGAAGUUGAAGAGCAUUCAGGUCCAGAUGGAAAAAUAGAGUUAAGUGCUUAUUUGGAAAAAAAAUUACAUGAAAUACGUGUUCCCAAAUUUUUCUCGCAAAAUGCGUGGAAAGAAUUGCAUGUUAACAAUUCUGCACUAAUAACAUGUACUGUAUUUAAAACAUAACAUGAUUAUUAGGGUUGUUUGACGAAAUAUUUUAAUUCAAAGGCCAUAUAAAAGUACGAUGUGUUCGGAAAAGAGUUAUUCAUGACAAACUAACAUAUUCUGUAACUUUAAUUUUUCUUAUUUCAGCUAACUCUUAUCCAUUUUCUUAUUUCAGCUAACUCUUAUUCUUCGGUCUUAACUCUUGGACCGAAGAAAAUUGUUCUUAACAAGAAAGCAAAACAAUACUACAAAAAAAGAGAUUCACUCACAAGAGGCAAGUUGUGAUAUUCAUGGAUAAUUCUGAUAAUUUCAUCGUGGGAUACUUUUAUUUCAAUUCAGAAGAAAAUUAACACAGUGAAAUGAACAAUAAAAAUAGUACAGAUUUGACUGUCUGUCUGCUAUUGAUUUAUCUUGAACAGAUUCUGCAUUAAACACAUAAUUGGGUAAUAGAAUCUUAAAAAAUCAAGACCUCGUAGACUUUGUGAACGAUCUUGUUCGGUGAUCAUUUUGCUAUUCACAAUUUUACUCUGUCUAUUGUUUAUUCUGCAAAGAGGUUGUAAACAGCUUCAUUCGAAAGCAAUCUCUCCUAUUAGCAGUGAAGAAUCGAUAUCGGCUUUUUAUUCAAAUCAAACAAGUAUACCCCUUUUGAACGAUAUUAACCGAUAAAGAAUUCAGACUAUAGUAUAUAGCGUAAACAUCGGAACUAAAGAACAUC